This 522-nucleotide ribosomal RNA is filed under the name uncultured microorganism. RNAcentral's name for it is "bacterial SSU rRNA". It matches the Rfam family "Bacterial small subunit ribosomal RNA", at positions 9 to 524 of the family's 1533-position model. The record is from RNAcentral.
GAGUUUGAUCGUGGCUCAGAUUGAACGCUGGCGGCAGGCCUAACACAUGCAAGUCGAGCGGAUGAAGGGAGCUUGCUCCUGGAUUCAGCGGCGGACGGGUGAGUAAUGCCUAGGAAUCUGCCUGGUAGUGGGGGAUAACGUCCGGAAACGGGCGCUAAUACCGCAUACGUCCUGAGGGAGAAAGUGGGGGAGUCUUCGGACCUCACGCUAUCAGAUGAGCCUAGGUCGGAUUAGCUAGUUGGUGGGGUAAAGGCCUACCAAGGCGACGAUCCGUAACUGGUCUGAGAGGAUGAUCAGUCACACUGGAACUGAGACACGGUCCAGACUCCUACGGGAGGCAGCAGUGGGGAAUAUUGGACAAUGGGCGGAAAGCCUGAUCCAGCCAUGCCGCGUGUGUGAAGAAGGUCUUCGGAUUGUAAAGCACUUUAAGUUGGGAGGAAGGGCAGUAAGUUAAUACCUUGCUGUUUUGACGUUACCAACAGAAUAAGCACCGGCUAACUUCGUGCCAGCCGCCGCCGUAAC